This is a long non-coding RNA of Oxyura jamaicensis (ruddy duck), 645 nucleotides long. RefSeq lists it as uncharacterized. The transcript has 3 exons. The record is from RefSeq and is a predicted model, not a curated record. NCBI's taxonomy places the organism in Eukaryota, Metazoa, Chordata, Aves, Anseriformes, Anatidae.
GAAAUCAGCCAAGAGUGGCUCUAAACAGCCAAGAUGUCUUGGUCAAGUGCAAGGCCUGGGUUGUGACAACAGAAGGGGAUGUUACGUGGCAACUGAGGAAAAGCAGGAAUAUGUUUAGCUUCCAGCAGCACUAAAAUAAACAGCUGGUGGCAUUUGGCUCUUGUGUUGACAUGGUGUCCAACAGGUGGCUUUAGCUGUACAGUUGCCAAGUGACAGUGCUGACAGCAAUAGUCUGCUCCUGUACAUGAAAUAUAUGGGACCCAGACACCUGGCUGAAUGCAGAAAUUAUUGGUGAGCAAGGUGGAAUAGGGGACUACAGAGUAUGAAAGGAGAAGCAGAUCUGCCCUCUUGUGUAAAAGGCAUCUACUGCAUCUUUUUUUCUUGAAUCUGAAGUUAAUUUACUCCUUGUAAAAAUACAUGAGGAGAAUAUGGGGAUGUUUUGAGCGUUUUAACCUUACCAUGAAGUGGAAAAUGAGAAAAGAAAGGAUGAAGGCUGACAUUCACACUUUAAAUGUGAUUUAUAUCUAUGAAUUAGUUUGUAAACCUAAAGGUUUAUAAAUAGACUAAUGUGAGUAGUUUGGACAUGAGAAGCUACUCUAAAUACUUAGGCUAUCAGACUUGAAACUGUGAAAAUAUGAGUAGUAC